AUUGGAUUCUAGAAAUGGGCUAAGUUUUUUGGUUGCAGACAUUUCUUUUUCCAGAACACAUUUUGAACCUCUUUAGAGAGCUGUUCAUGGCCUCUGAGAGGCAUCUGAGGUUCUGGUGGGCCUUGCUUUGCCCUUCUGUGUAACCCCACCCCUAAUAGUAACUUUGGGCAUAAAAGAAGGAUAAUGUUAGAAGUCAUCAUUAAAUAAAUGUCAUGUGCCAGGAACUGAGAUAUAGAGCUUUACAGCCAUUGUUGUACAUAAUUUUCAUAGAUCUCCAGAAAGGAAAGUAUUGUUAUGCUCAUUAUACUAUGAUGAAACUAAGGUUCAGAGUAGUUGACAUCUUGUCCAUGCUCUCAAGAUAAUGGCAGUGUGGGAUUUGAACCGGAGGAUGUUUAACUCCAGGGUAUGGGCUCUGACCACUGCAUUGUAUUCCCUUUCGCCUUCUUUUAUUUUCUCUCUCCUUUCCCUAGUUCUUCCUACCGCCUUUCUCCUUUCCUCUUCUCUUCCUCCCCUCUGUCUUGCAUUUGCCAGGGCAAUUCAGCCAGUGUUUUUGGAGUGCCUGCUGCGGGCAAACUACCAUGCUGUGCUCUCUAGGAGAUGCAAAGAUGAAGAUACACCAGUGGCAACUGAGGAGACCUUGAAACAUUGAGAAGCUGGAACCAAUUGUGACCCAGUGUCCACCAUACGCAGGAUGGAUGGCAAAGUCUCAGAGCAUGACAAAAGGAACAUUACUUUGAGAUGCCUCCUUGAUACGUAAGAUAAGAUGCUUCUAUUGCUACAACUGAAACCUCCAGCAUCCUCCAAUCUUGCUCUUAAAGAGGCCUUGUCUGAUUUUUCCUCCUUGGAAAUGUUUGAUGCUCACAGAGGUAGGUACCAUUCAUGGAAGGCUACCAUGCUCCAGGCACAGUGCUAAGGGCUUCACAAAUAUCUCUUCUAAUUCUCCUGGCAACCCUGUGAGUGGGUGCUACUUUAUUCAUGUUAUUGGUGAAAUAGCCACCACUCAGAGAGGUGAACGCCCUGCCCCAGGUCAUAUAGCUGGUAAGUGACUUCUGGGUUGCAUUUGAAACCCUCGUCUCUCUGGCCCUAAAGCUGAAGCCCUUAACCACUAUGCUUUACUGCCUCACAAACAGCAUUCCUGUUUCCUAUUUGAUAAUGCUUGUAGUACUUCGGAAUGGAUUCCCAAGGAUAGCAGGCCUCCUAACCAUUUAGAUCAAG
RNAcentral lists this long non-coding RNA (1215 nucleotides) under Equus caballus (horse). RNAcentral's name for it is "lncRNA (ENSECAG00000046369.1)". The record is from RNAcentral. Lineage: Eukaryota; Metazoa; Chordata; Mammalia; Perissodactyla; Equidae.